UACGAAGGGGGCUAGCGUUGCUCGGAAUGACUGGGCGUAAAGGGCGCGUAGGCGGAUGUUACAGUCAGGCGUGAAAUUCCUGGGCUCAACCUGGGGGCUGCGCUUGAGACUGUGGGACUUGAGGUCAGAAGAGGGUCGUGGAAUUCCCAGUGUAGAGGUGAAAUUCGUAGAUAUUGGGAAGAACACCGGUGGCGAAGGCGGCGACCUGGUCUGAUACUGACGCUGAGGCGCGACAGCGUGGGGAGCAAACAGG
This 253-nucleotide ribosomal RNA is filed under the name uncultured bacterium. RNAcentral describes it as "partial 16S ribosomal RNA". It matches the Rfam family "Bacterial small subunit ribosomal RNA", at positions 524 to 776 of the family's 1533-position model. The record is from RNAcentral.